AUGAAUCCGCGAGCCCCUGGGUGGAAUAAGAGGUUGAGGAUUGGAGCUGCAGCACCGAGCAGGCCACCGUGUCCAAACCGCAUCAGUGCGUUCGAGAAGGCAGUACGGAGGUUUGCUGAGAAUCCAACGGAGAAUGUUAUCACGCCAGUUAUCGGCACAACGUUCGACUCGGUGGAUCAGGCAUACGACUUCUACAAUUUGUACUCCUGGGAGAAGGGAUUUGGCAUUCGUUAUGGCAAAAGCAGGUUAAAUGUGGAGAGGACCAAAUGCAUGCAGGAAAUAGUUUGUGGUUGCUCGGGAAAAGCUGGGGUUGAGAACACGAGAUCUUGUCACUGUGAGUGUCCUGCUCUAAUUAGGCUGCUACGAGCAGAGGACAACGGAUGGUAUAUAGCGAAGCAUAGGGAUACGCACAACCACUCGUUGUCGCCUAAUUUUGGUGAGACAAUCCACUGGCCAUCUCACAAGCAUAUAGAUGUGUACAUCAGAGAUCUUGUGAAGUAG
This 501-nucleotide ribosomal RNA is filed under the name Triticum aestivum (bread wheat). Its description in RNAcentral is "partial small subunit ribosomal RNA". The record is from RNAcentral. Lineage: Eukaryota; Viridiplantae; Streptophyta; Magnoliopsida; Poales; Poaceae.